CAGAUGCGCACUGAGCACCCACCAUGCUCAGGGCCUGCUUCUCACGGGGUUUAUUAUUAAAGAACCCUAAGAAGCUCCUGACAUCCACAAGAACAUUCUCCAUGAAGUCCCUCGACCACACGUUGUGGCAAAGAGAGCAUUCCCUGGACUGGCGAGGCGGCGUGCUGUCUGGGGCUGUCUGAGACUGUCUGGGACAAUGGCUCUGGCAGCGGCCUCUGUGGCCGGCAGGUUGUGCCACAAGACAGGUUGGUCUUGUGAGACGCUGCUCGUCUGGGACCUGAGUGGCCUCUGGACAGUCCCCAGGAGCACCUGGAGAGUCAGACCGGGCCUCACCUCUUGCCUCCCCUUUUGAAGUCUGGGGACAGAGUGGAGCCCCGCUGUUCCGCAUGGGAAGCGUGAGUGUUGAAAGAUCAGAACCUUUAUGUCAGUUUUACACAAAUAAUUUUUCCAUCAGGUAAAAUGACAAACGACACCACUGCAAGUGUGGCAGUGACAGAAUUUAAAAUGCCUACUCUGAAAGGCAGGAGCCUGCAGUUGCAGAAUCACCGUGAUUCUCCCAGGCAGGGUCAAGAAUUCUAGCUCUUAGAAGUUUGCCGCCUGCAAAUUCCUAAAUCCCCUGCAAGGUAAGAGAGGGACUGGCGGAGCCUGAAGAACGAAGUUACAUGUUAAUACCUCCAUAGGCCUCGUGACCAACAAAAAAGGACUGAAAGUGAAAAAGCGAAUCCUGUGUUUGAAGACCUUUGUAUAUUCAAGUUGUCUUUUCCUUCGUUUCAUUUUCUUUCAUUUUAACUUUCACAAAAGUCGCUAUUUAUUACUCAUGCACAUAAAUAUCUCUACUCCUGACUCAAGCUGGCAACCUAUGGAGAUUUAGGGUAUUCACGACCCCCAGCAAACAGCAGCGCUCAGCGGAGCAGCUGUCUCUGAAUGGAGCUGAUGUCUGGGAGUGCUGCACUCCGAUGAGCCAAUGGAAGUCUCUAUCAUCUUGAAUCUUCACUGUGUUAACUGUGAAGUGCCUGAAUCUGGGGGGACUGGGCCCUCACAGCCGCCAGGUGAGGGGGACCCUCUUCCCUCUCCUCUGGGUGAAGAGGUCCCAGCUCACACAAGUCACCCCUGGUAAGAGGCAGAGUCCACAGCAGGACCUGGGUAGAAGCCAAAGGCAACACUCCCUACCCCACACAUGGGUUCCUCUCAAGUAAAUCACCAGCGGGGCGAGGUGCACACAGCGUCUAGGAAGACAGGACAAACUGUUGUCACCUCCUUCAGCCAGGAGGCCCCACACGGAGCGCCACUGCCUCCACUAUCUGAUGCCACAGGGCAGACGUCAUGUGCUGGUUAAGGGAGGAGAAACUGCGGAUCAUUUUCCAUCUUAUUGGAAAUCACUCUCUGACACUUUUUCCUCAUCCUCACUAAGUACCCACCGAGUAUACCAGCAACAGUGUAAAAUAAACACAGCUUAAAGAAGUAGGAACCCUUUAUUCCUGGGACUUAAAAGCUUGACUAUCCACGGCAUUGAGUUGACAGAGAAGAGCUUGAAUCAUCAACAUGGCGUGAGUGACCACAUCCCUCACUCUGAGCCCCACUCCACAGCAGAUGACUCUGAAUCGCCCCGGCUAACGGCGUGCCCAGCAUCCUGAUGCUCUGAUUAGUCCUGAAUCACCCGAGGGCGGGCGGUGCGGUGGCUGGGCUGUCUCAGAGGGCAUCGCGGGCUGGGUGGACGAGGCUGGCCCAGAAGAGGGCAACAAGCAUUUGACAGGGAGUGGCAGGCUACCAUCUUGCCUCUUCUGCAGUUUGCGACACUUAGGGUCAUGAGUGUUUUUCCUCACACUAAGGAAGGAGACCACUACUCCUCCUGAUGCCCUCCUUCCCCCCACCUUGCCUAGUUCACAAAACAGGAAGAGAGAAAAAGCAAAAAGUUGGAAAAAAACAAAAGUAAGAUAAAUAGCCAGAUAACCUUGGCACCACCACCCGGCCCUAGGAGUUAAAAAAAGUGAUAAUAAUAACAUCAACCCCUGACCUAAACUACUUGUGUAAAUUCCAGACACUGUAUGAAAAAAGCAUUGUAAAACUUUCUGUUCUGUUAGCUGAUGCCUGUAGCCCCCAGUCACGUUUCCCACGCUUGCUUGAUGUACUACGACCCUUUCACGUGGACCCCUUAAAGUUGUAUGCCUUUAAAAAGGCCAAGAAUUUCUUUUUCAGGGAGCUCAGCUCUUAAGACUCAAGUCUGCCAAUGCUCCUGGCUGAAUAAAAACCUCUUCCUUCUUUAAUCCGGUGUUUGAGGAGUUUUGUCUGCGGCUUGUCCUGCUACAAUACAGUGGCCCGAAAGGCAAGGAAACUCCCGCAAGCGUUCAGAAAGGCUGCGGGUUUUUCAGGUAACAUUUCUGCAGCCACUGAUGUCUGACCCAAAGAGCUCUGAAUGCUUGCCAGAGAGAUGUGUAGUUCUAAUCCCAAAGCCCUGAAUGUUCUGAUUUCCUCAUUAAGACUGACUUAACAUGAGCUAUUUAGUCAGCUGAGUUAUCAACUGAAGAAAGUAACCGGUGUUUCCCACUUAUUUUCUUCUGUGGUUGUUUGAAAACAGCCGUGGUGUGGACAGAGUUCAUGCAGCCUUGAUGGUGGUGUGUCCCCAGCUCCACGCACGCACUAAACCUUUAAUUCAUUUCAGCAUAAAUAAGUUAAUGAAUAUGCAUACAUGAAUAAAUUAACUGGCAUAGUUUUAGUCCUAUUGAAGUUUUAAACUCACCAAUUUAUCCAACUUCUCUGCACUGAGUUUUUAUUCAAGUGAACUAUUCCAGUCUUGUGACUUCUGAUAUAAUAAUAGUAACGACUAAUAUUUAUUAGAACUUUAGUUUACCAAGCACUCCACAUUUUAUUUUUACAUUUUGUCUUCACAAACCCCCAUGAGACAGGCAUUCUCACCACUCGCAGUGUUGAUUGGCAUGCAGAGGCUCAGGGGUUUAAAUGGUUUCACUGAAGCAAUGUGAUCCGGUAGGAUGUUGCUUUCCUAUUCCUCCUAAUACCACCGUGUUCAGACAUGGGCAGCCGAGUGAGAAUAGAUCAUUUCAUGUGUGUGUAUAGACGUAACCUACACUCACAGGCGGAAAGCUGUGCAGGCUGAGAAGUGAAGCCCUCGGCUGAAUGACCAACAACAGCGUUCUAGGACCCCUUGUCCUUGCUCCGCAGGCUACACCCCUCACAUCUCCUCUGAACCAGAAAGAAAACUCUGCGGUUGCUUCUCCCUUUGACAGUCAGCCACAGUUCUCUUCAAUGUUCUCCUGGGGACUUGGGUCAAUGUUCUCCCGUCAAAUCUUAGCCAGGCCCAAGAUUACUGUGCCCCCCACCCCCCGCAGAUCUGUCAGGACACACUACUGCCCCAGAUGUAUUUGGUCGCCCCAUCUGUGUCCUAUCUGCCGUCCGUGCCUCUGGCCAGGCUUCUUGUGAGGUCCUGACUCACGCUGUCACUCUCAGGUUGUUUGCCUGUGGCUGGACACAUUGUUCAUAGGAGCCCAGCUGGCAAAGCAAAAAUACCUGAGACUGUGAUGGCAAGCUGCUUGUUCCCUGCAUCCUUGGCUGGCGAGAAGCUGAAGAGAAGUGAAAGCUCUACCUGUGAAGAGGCAGCAUUGCAGAAGGGAGGAGGUGGAGAUUCUGUCCUCAGUGCCUAGGGCCCUGCCUGGAUCUGGUUUUGCAGAGGGGAGGACGUAGAGAUUCUGUCCUCAGUGCCCAGGGCCCUGCCUGGAUCUGGUUUUGCAGAGGGGAGGACGUAGAGAUUCUGUCCUCAGCGCCCAGGGCCCUGCCUGGAUCUGGUUUUGCAGCUCCAGGGGAAACGUUUUGCACAAAUUCUCACUGGGAGCAUUAUCAGGGCUGCAGCACUUCAGUCUCUCCUGAUCUGAAUCCUUUUAACAUUAGCUGUGAUGCUGAGAAGGAUGAAAUUGAUGACACCAACAUCUGGUGGAAGACAAAAACCAGAGGGAUUUCCACCCAGGCAGAGCCCCUCCGCAGGCCUCCCCUCUUUGUGGCCUGAGGUCGGAGAGGCCUCUGGAGCAAGCCAGCGGAUGGAAUUCUCAGUUUUCUUCCAUUUGAUUAUUUUCCUAUUUUGACGUCUUUGAAAAAUGGCUCAGCCUUAUGGUGCAUGCGUUUUCUGAUUGCUUUUGUCUUUGUUUUAUUCUGAAUCAAGGACCGUGGCCACUGUGGGCUCCUCAUCCAGGACGUGGGGGCCCUCCGGGGCCUCAGUCCAUCCAUGCUGCAGUACAUGGUGAUUCUCAUGCAGAGGAUGAUCUCAGGGAUCAGCUUGAGCUGGCAGAGAAUUAAAUUAUAUGGUUUAUAAGAGUCCUGCCUCAGGGUCAGUGACACCAGGCCUGUCUCUGCUGCUAGCAAGGCCGACUUUCUUAUGUGCUGUCAUCGUGGUAAAAGCCUUGCCCACGUGAUGAAGACCCUGGACGGCUCUACUUGAGACAGAUUUCAGCUACGUUGCCUGGGAGUCUCUGGUACUUCUUCAAGGUUCUACUGAAGACAAUGACGUCAUCCAAGUACCUUGCAGUGCCUAAGUAGCUCUUGCCGCGGGAGCUCUGAGACCCCCUGUUAUCUAUUUUCGAAUUGGCCAAGGACCCCCGGCCAGGCAGGGGAUGCUCUGCCCAUCCUCGUCAGCCCUCGUGUCUUGUGAUCCUCCCCCAGCCUCCUGGCAAGCAUCCCUGUGCUUUCCGCGGGUGAGCGUGGCUGAGCUCAGUCUCGCUUACUACAACGGCAGGCACGAGGUCUGCGGAACUAAGAAGGCUCCUCUUUGCUCACUGGCCUUUCCUUUAAGUCCCUGGUCACUAACCUCUGGCAAGACAAUCCUUCUUGUGUUUUCUGGCGAUGGACUUGAGUGAUUACAAUGUGCCCUAGAGAGGACAGAUGCAUGGCUGUGGAGUCUUGUUCUGUGAUAUGUCAGGUAUGUGCUUGGGCGCGCGGAGGCUGCAGGAGGUGGACAGGAAUGGUCUUUCUCUUGCUCUGAGUCGCAUGUGUGGGCCAGCCCACGGGUUCUGUGGAGGAGAAUCCAGCUGCCCACCUGGCUGAGUCUAGCCCUGGGCUGGCGAUGGCCGAACCCCAGUUCCAUUCCCGGACCUUCCCUAGGCUGCUGGGUGGGUUCCCUGGCCACUGUCGCUGGGCUAAUCCAUUCUAUCUUCUCCUGGGGCGAGGCCAUUGCCGUGCUGUGCUGGUGCUGGCUCUUCAGGCAGCUCUUCAGCUCCGUGGCUCCCGGCCCAGCCCAGGCCUAACACAGGCCUGUCCCUAGUGUUCGUGCACUGAGCUUUGUGUCUAUUGCUGGUUUUUCUUUUCUUUUAAAACUUACUUCGCAGAAGGAAUUCGGCCUGAGCAGCUGAGCUUCCGUGGUAGCCUCUCCUGCUCAAAGCCGUCGUUUGCUCCCAUAUACCUGGCCUGCCAGUUUCCAUUCUCUCUUUCCCUUGUUUCAUCUUUUCUGCAGUAGGUCCUCUAGUUUCAACCACAGGUGUUUACAGUGUUGCAGUUUUAAUUUGUCGUUGUUGCAUUUAGUUUACUUGACGCACGUUCAAAACUGCAAAAUGCUGGUUCCUACCCGUCUCUGAUGUCACCAAAGGCUGCCCAGAGGCCUGCAGCACAUUGACGAUGGUCUUAGUAUUACACAGCUGUCUGACCAGUACCACAAAUCCAGAGUCCAAGCAGCUCAGGUUUGCCUUCUCCCUGUCUGUGUGGGUCCAGCGCCCUGGGCUCAGCAGGGCCUCCUGCUCCUGCUCCUGUAGGGUGGGCUGGGCCUUCCCACACGGGCCUGGGGAGGAGCCUCUCCUAGGUGCUGGCAGGGCCCUGGCCUUUACUUAUUCCCUCUGAUGCCAGCCAGCUACUGCAGCCCUGGUGGCGUCUCCCUGGGGGUGCCCGGGUGCAGGUGUCCGCUGCCGGGCCGUGGGUGUCUCAUUCUGUGUCCGGACCUCUCUGUGAUGUGAACCUUGGGCUUUUUUUUUUUUUUUUUUUUUUUUUCAGAUGUUAAGGGAGUCCACCACAUGUUUCCAUGGUAACGGCUCCUUUUCCUGGUUUACUGGAGGGUUCUGACGGUCAAGGCCUCCUGUGUAUUGACUGGGUUAUCGCCUGGGGGUUUUAUUGCUUUGUCUUUUACAUUUAGUUUUACUGUUCCUGGAACUGAAUUUGUUUGUGAUGUGAGUCAGAAAUCCUGUCACAUUUUUCCACGUGGAUAUCCAGGGCCCCCGCCGUUUGUGGGAAGGCCGCACCUUCUGCCCGCUCUGCUGUCCAUCCGCGUGCCCAUCUCCAUGGGUUUCUCUCUGCACGGCUUGUUCUGUCCUGCAUGUCCAUCCUUGAGAUCGUUUUUCUCUGGCUUAAUGAUUACAGCUGUACGGUGAGUCUACAGUUAUUCCAAGUUUAUUUAGACAAGAUUUUCUUAACCUUGUAAAUUAUUCUAGGGUUUUUUAUAUUAUUAUUAAACCCAUAGGACUCUUUGGUGAAAACUGACAUAGUUAAAAUGGUUGAGUCUUUCAGUUCAAUUAGGUCUUUCUUUUCUGUAAUAUUUUCUGGACUUCUCCAUUCAAGUCUCAUGCAUUUUUUUGUUAGGAGUGUUGCUAAGAUUUAACUUUUCUAACCCACUGUAAAAGUGUUACCAGGGGGUCCUUGCUCCCAGAACUCCUAAGAUGGUGGCAGGUCGCUUCCAAAAUGGCGGCGGCCCACUUCCAAGAUGGUGGCAAGCCUACUGUUCUCUGACCUGGGGUUCUUGGCCUCACGGAUUCCAAGGAAUGGAAUCUUGGGCCAUCCGGUGAGUGUUACAGCUCUAUUAGAAGCCGUGGGUCACGGAAGAGAACCAUGGAACCCAGUGACUAGUGUUCAGCUCAAUUAGGACGAACUGAGGCACUUAGCCAUGCAGAAACAAUGGCAAGACCUUAGCCUGAUCCAUCGGGAGUGGCAAUGGGCGCCUCGCUGGAUCAGGAGCACAGCGGACACCCUGCCGGCUCUGGAGAGAUGGAAGUCAGCGGCGGGUCUACGACGGCAGCAAACAGCAGUGGUGGAGGGCGAGCGAAAGCUCAGCUCCAGCCGUAACAAACACGGACCAGAAGAGUGCAGUUGCAAGAUUUAAUAGAGUGAAAUAGAGUGAAAACAGAGCUCCCAUACAAAGGAAGGGGACCCAAAGAGGGUAGCCAUUGCCAGCUCCAAUGCCUGGGUUUAUAUCCCAAUCACUGUCCCUCCCGCUGUGCUCUCAGGCAGUAGAUGAUUGGCUAUUUCUUUACCUCCUGUUUUUGCCUUAUUAGCAUUUUAGUGAGCUCUGUGAUUGGUCAGGUGUGAGCUAAGUUGCAAGCCUGGUGUUUAAAGGUGGAUGUGGUCACCUUCUCAGCUAGGCUUAGGGAUUCUUAGCCUAGGAAAUCCAGCUAGUCCUGUCUCUCAAAAGUAUCUUUUACAUUUUAUUUUCUAAUUGUUUAUUGCUUGUAUGUUAAAAUAAAGUGAAUAUUUAUGUUGAUUUUUAUUCAGCAUCUUGUUAAAAUUCAGUUGACUUUACAAAUUCAUUUUCAUACUUUAUUGUAUACUUUAUAUAUACAAUCAUGUGAUCUGUGUAUAAAGGUGGGUUUUUAUAUUUCUCUCCAAUUCUUACACAUUUUCUGUUGUUCCAGUUUCAUUUUCAUGGCUGGGAUCUGCAGGACGAGCUUACAUAUAGGUCCUUGCUGAUUUUUUUGCCUGCCUUUUCCAUUAGUUCCUGAGACAAGCAUUUUAAAACCAAACAACAUAACUGAGGAGCUGUCUGUCACCCUUCGUGAUUCUGAAAACACGUGCUGCAUGUGUUUUGAGGUUGUUAUUUGGAGCAUGUGCAUUUACAAUUGUCUUACUGCCUUUGCAGUUUGAGUUUUUAUUAAAUGUUUCUCUUCAUCUCUGGUCAUGCUUUAUGCCGUAGAGUCUGUUAUUAGCAGAGCUACUCCAGGUUUAUUUUUCAUGAUAUUAUUUUCACUUCUUUUUACUUUCCAACUUUUAUAUCAUUAUGUUGAAGGUAUCUCUUUUGUUAAUCACAUAGUUGCAUUGUGUUUUCUUUUUUCAAAUAUGUAUGAGCAGCAUAAAAUUGGAUGUUCCUUUGAAACAACAGCAGUCAGAAGUCCAUGAGGAGGUGUCUUCUGACUGCGAGGAUAAGGGUGGAUCACCUUAAUGCAAUCAGGGAAUGAUGUGUUAGAAGCAUCUAUAGUUCCUGCUUCCCCUAAUUUCUAGCUGUAGCCAUUUGAAGAUUCUAAGCAAGUCCUCAACUGUUCAGCAGAGCCUCUGGUCCAGCAUGAGACCAAAACCCAGGAGCUGGUCUCGCCCUUGGCCCUCCUAACUCUCCAGCGUGUCCAGCCUGACUGGGAGAAACGUCCUGUUCAGGUGUUUGGUUGUCUAAGUGCUUCCCGCGGGGACGCCGGGCCUGAGCCUCUGUGAGAAGGGGAGAUCCCUGUGCAGUGUGGACCAACUUCUUUCCCUUUUCCAGGCUCCCAGUUUCUCCGCCUGUGCUGAGACCUUGUUUCCCAGGACCUCGGUGGACUUGGCUUUCAUGACUGGUGCCUCACCCCAGCACAUGUGCCUAAAAUAACAGAAAAAUACAGUGCCUGCAUGUUGGGAGCAAGCCCCCCAAAGUCUGGCCCCAAAACUGGCCAUAAAUAAAAUCUCUGCAGCAAUGUAACAUGUCCAUAAUGGCCAUAAAGCCCAAGCUGGAAGGUUGUGGGUUUACAGGAAUGACGGUAAGGAACACCUGGCCCGCUCAGGGCGGAAAACUGGUUAAAGGCAUUUUUAAGCCAUAAACAAUUAGCCUGAGCGAUCUGUGCCUUAAGGGCGUGUUCCUGCUGCAAUUAAUUCAGCCCAUCCCUUCGUUUCCCUUAAGGGAUACUUUCAGUUAAUUUAAUAUCCAUAGAAACAAUGCUAAUGACUGGUUUGCUGUUAAUAAAUAUGUGGGUAAAUCUCUGUUCGGGGCUCUCAGCUCUGAAGGCUGUGAGACCCCUGAUAUCCCACUUUACACCUCUGUAU
Molecule: long non-coding RNA, 8979 nt
Filed under: Homo sapiens (human)
Lineage: Eukaryota; Metazoa; Chordata; Mammalia; Primates; Hominidae
Description: HSALNT0025823
Source: RNAcentral